Molecule: long non-coding RNA, 339 nt
Organism: Polyodon spathula (Mississippi paddlefish)
Lineage: Eukaryota; Metazoa; Chordata; Actinopteri; Acipenseriformes; Polyodontidae
Exons: 3
Source: RefSeq, a predicted model, not a curated record
CUGUAAUGGACUUAAUAUAUAGGAACAGCAUCACGUCCACUUCUCUGUGAACUGCUUCCCAAUAGAUCCUUGUUCAUAUUAGGCCUCUAUUAGCUGAUGUAAAAGAAGACAAUAAAACCUAGGCAUGGAUGAUGAGUGACACAGCAAGCAAGGUCUCCUGGAUUGAGUGACCUAUUCCAGUCACAGACUGACUCACCCUGUCCUCACUGACCAUGAUCUGUCUCGCUUGCUGGAUUCCACCUGCUGUCAAGAAUAAGAAAUUCACAGACCUGUCAACGCUGGCCUCUUCAACCUGUCUACAGUGUCUGAUGUAACAGCACAGCCUGGCCCGCUCUAUAU